GGCUCAGCUUAUAGAGGCUGCUGUUUAUUCAUUGUUGACAAUGAAUUUGUAGAAAUAACCGUGGCGCUACGUUUGUGAUCUAAUAUCUUUGGAGAAAACGCACAGAUGAUGCAAGUACGAAGCAGCAGUCACCACCAUCUUCAGUUGUGUUUCAUUCGCAGAGAAUACAAGAAGCUGUUACUGCGAGCUACGUGAAGGUAACAGUCACAUGUACGCAGAGGCUAUGUGCGUGGCGCUGUUGCUAGGGGCAACAUGCAGUCCCGUGCAAGCAGUUACAAACAGUGAAACACCCUCCACUAACGACAACACCGAGAAGUUACGAACUGUAAUAGCAAUAGAUUUUGGAACAGACUAUACCUGUGUAGCUGUGGGUGAGAACGAUCAUGUUGAGAUCAUCCCCAAUGAACAGGGGAACAGGGUAACCCCCUCGUAUGUAGCGUUCACCCCGGAUGGGGAGAUACUGAUCGGACACGCCGCUAAGAACCAAAUGACCACAAACCCCGAGAACACCAUCUUCGACGUCAAACGUCUGAUUGGUCGCACAUGGGAUGAUCCGUCCGUGCAGCGCAAUAUACAACGAUAUCCUUUCAAGGUAAUAAACAAGGAAAACAAGCCGUACAUAGAAGUAAGAGUUGGCUCAGAGGGCAAAGUGUUCGCUCCCGAGGAGAUCGCAGCGAUGGUGUUGUCGAAGAUGAAGGAGAUAGCAGAGAACUACCUUGGAGAAAACGUCACCCACGCCAUCGUCACCGUCCCUGCCUUCUUCAACGACGCCCAAAGAAUGGCAACCAAAGACGCUGGCACCAUGGCUGGGAUGAACAUUCUACGUGUUAGCAACGAACCAUCUGCUGCCUCUAUAGCGUACGGCCUUGACAAGUUAGAUGGAGAAAAGAACGUACUGGUGUUUGACUUGGGAGGGGGAACGAUUGAAGGGUCAAUCCUAACCAUCGACAAUGGCGUUAUCGAGUUGGUGGCCACCAAUGGCGACACGCAUCGAGGUGGUCAAUACAUCGACCAGAGACUGAUAGAGUACUUUAUCAAACAAUACAAGACGAGGACGGGGCAGGACCUACUGGAGGACAGCGGGGCCAUCCAGAAACUGCGUCGUGAGGUGGAGAAGGCGAAGAGAGCCCUGUCAUCCCAGCAUCAGACUCGGGUGGAGAUCGAGUCUCUUAUGGGCGGCCAUGAUUUCUCCGAACACCUCACUAGAGCUAAGCUGGAGGAACUGUACGUAGACCUGUUUGAAUCAACUUUAAACUACAUGCAGUCCGCUUUAGAAGAGGAAUACUUGAACAAGACGGACAUCCACGAGAUUGUUCUGGUCGGAGCAGCAAGUGAGAUACCCAAGGUUCAGCAACUGGCCAUGGAAUUCUUUGAUGGGAAGGCACCAAAGAAAGGCAUUCACCCGGAAGAGACAGUAGCCUACGGAGCAGCCCUUGUUGCAGCAUUUUAUGCUACCUACGACGAGACCAAGGAUGAAUGUUUUGAUAUCAUAGAAAUCAAUCACUUGAGUCUCGGCAUCGAGACCAUUGGAGGCGUCAUGUCAAAGAUCAUCAGUCGGAACACAGUCACUCCUACCAAGAAGACACAGCAGUUCACAACAAUAGAGGACGACCAGGAUGUGAUGGAGGUCCUUGUCUAUGAAGGCGAGAGAGCCAUGACGAAGGACAACCAUAUCCUCGGGAAGUUUGAACUCAAAGGAAUUCCUCCAGCGGCGAGAGGGGACCCCCAGAUCGAUGUUACAUUUGAGAUAGACGUGAAUGGUAUAUUGACGGUCACGGCCGAGGACGUAGAGACGGGAAAUAAGAAUAGCAUUGCCAUUCAGGACCUCCACGGAGAUGCACUCUCGCCUGAAGAUCUGGAGAAGAUGAUUCACGAUGCUGAGGAGUUUGCUGAGGAAGACAAAGAGAUGACGGAGAAAACGGAAGCUGAACUUAGAGCCGGGGAUAAAUGGACGAACAGAAAGGCUGUGAGAAGGAAACCCAUCAUAUCAGGUGACCCGGAGGAUGUUUCCCGUGACGAACUCUGAGGGAGGAAUUGGAACAAGGAGAUGAAAGAAUGAUGCUGGAAACUAAAGAUGCAUGGAUUGAGGAAGGACACACUACAACGAUAAUGGAUGGUUGAGAGUUUUAUCUAUAUCCCUAGCUCUGUACCGACGACAUAUGCUAUGCAUAAUGCGAAGGUGAGAGAUAGCUCAGUUGAUAUAUGUGUAUGUGUUGUAUGAGGCCAUUCGUCACCACUCGGCCCUUUCCGUAACCUCCAGGACGCUGUUCGGCUUGUCCCGGAAUAACACGAGUUGGUCACGAAUGGUAUGGGGCUUCCCAUUAAUGAAACACUUUCUCAGUCCUGCCCGUCAAACGAAUCAUCAUGUUUGUCCAGGAGAAGAGUUUAUCUAUACAUUUUUUGUACAUUCAUUUGUGUAUUUAGAUUUUGGUAUACAGGUGUAGACAAUACAAGGAGUGUAUAUGUACAUGUGUGUAAUAUAGAAAAUAAAAUAUUUCUUCAUUUACACCUGGACAUGUGUGAUAUAUAAAUAACGAAGAGUACACAAACACGUGUGUGAUGUGGGAAAUAGAAACUUUGUACAUUUACAAGUGUAUGAUGUAGAACAUAUAUGAUUUGUACAUUUACACGUGUGUGAUGUAGAAAAUAUAUGAUUUGUACAUUUACAAGUGUGUGAUGUAGAAAAUAAAAGAUAUGUGCAUUUAAACGUGUGUUAUGUAGAAAAUAUAUGAUUUGUACAUUUACAAGUGUAUGAUGUAGAACCUAUAUGAUUUGUAAAUUUACACGUGUGUGAUGUAGAAAAUAUAUGAGUGUGUACAUUUACAAGUGUGUCAGGAACAAAAUAAAAGAUUUAUAAAUGUA
This 2862-nucleotide unclassified non-coding RNA is filed under the name Haliotis rubra (blacklip abalone). Its description in RNAcentral is "endoplasmic reticulum chaperone BiP-like, transcript variant X2". Lineage: Eukaryota; Metazoa; Mollusca; Gastropoda; Lepetellida; Haliotidae. The record is from RNAcentral.